UUGUCCUGAGCAGGUAAAGUACCGCACAGCUUGCGGUUGAGAAUGCCCUUAGGACGGGACUAUACGUCCUGCCAUCACGCCAAGAAUCUUCCUAAAGAAGUAUUGGUAUGAAAUACAGUCACAACAACUGGUAGCUCUUGCAAAGGAGUGAACGUCUGAAGUGACAGUGGUAGAGUCAAGGGUGUGCAGGGCUACAACGC
RNAcentral lists this non-coding RNA (200 nucleotides) under unclassified sequences. RNAcentral's name for it is "RT-16 RNA". The stretch from base 46 to 200 matches the Rfam family "RT-16 RNA". From Rfam's summary of the family: candidate division DUSEL4 (Archaea). Nearby to self-splicing intron genes The record is from Rfam by way of RNAcentral.